RNAcentral lists this small RNA (125 nucleotides) under Marmota monax (woodchuck). The record is from RNAcentral. Lineage: Eukaryota; Metazoa; Chordata; Mammalia; Rodentia; Sciuridae.
GCUGGGUGUGUUGGCGCAUGCCUGUAAUCCCAGCAGCUUGGGAGGCUGAGGCAGGAGGAUCAUGAGUUUAAAGCCAGAUUCAGCAACAUCGAGGCGCUAAGCAAUUCAGUGAGGCCCUGUCGUUA